GACUACGGCCAUACCACCCUGAAUGCGCCCGAUCUCGGAAGCUAAGCAGGGUCGGGCCUGGGUAGUACUUGGAUGGGAGACCUUGCAAGUCUUUUGACUGGCUCUUUUUC
Molecule: ribosomal RNA, 110 nt
Filed under: Marmota monax (woodchuck)
Lineage: Eukaryota; Metazoa; Chordata; Mammalia; Rodentia; Sciuridae
Source: RNAcentral